CCCGCAACGAGCGCAACCCCUGUCCUUUGUUGCCAGCACGUAAUGGUGGGAACUCAAGGGAGACUGCCGGUGAUAAACCGGAGGAAGGUGGGGAUGACGUCAAGUCAUCAUGGCCCUUACGGCCAGGGCUACACACGUGCUACAAUGGCGCGUACAGAGGGCUGCAAGCUAGCGAUAGUGAGCGAAUCCCAAAAAGCGCGUCGUAGUCCGGAUCGGAGUCUGCAACUCGACUCCGUGAAGUCGGAAUCGCUAGUAAUCGCAAAU
Molecule: ribosomal RNA, 264 nt
Filed under: Aeromonas veronii
Lineage: Bacteria; Pseudomonadati; Pseudomonadota; Gammaproteobacteria; Aeromonadales; Aeromonadaceae
Description: partial 16S ribosomal RNA
Rfam family: Bacterial small subunit ribosomal RNA
Source: RNAcentral